This 704-nucleotide ribosomal RNA is filed under the name uncultured prokaryote. RNAcentral describes it as "bacterial SSU rRNA". It matches the Rfam family "Bacterial small subunit ribosomal RNA", at positions 28 to 750 of the family's 1533-position model. The record is from RNAcentral.
GAUGAACGCUGACAGAAUGCUUAACACAUGCAAGUCGAUUCGAUUUACCUUCGGGUAUUGAGGAUGGCGGACGGGUGAGUAACGCGUAAGGAACUUGCCUCUUGGUCUGGGACAACUGUUGGAAACGACAGCUAAUACCGGAUAUUAUGAGAUUCUCGCAUGGGAAACUUAUGAAAGCUAUAUGCGCCAAGAGAGAGCCUUGCGUUCCAUUAGCUAGUUGGUGGGGUAACGGCCCACCAAGGCGACGAUGGAUAGCCGGCCUGAGAGGGUGAACGGCCACAAGGGGACUGAGACACGGCCCUUACUCCUACGGGAGGCAGCAGUGGGGAAUAUUGGACAAUGGGCCACAAGCCUGAUCCAGCAAUUCUGUGUGCACGAUGAAGGUCUUCGGAUUGUAAAGUGCUUUCAGUUGGGAAGAAGAAAGUGACGGUACCAACAGAAGAAGCGACGGCUAAAUACGUGCCAGCAGCCGCGGUAAUACGUAUGUCGCAAGCGUUAUCCGGAUUUAUUGNGCGUAAAGCGCGUCUAGGCGGAAAAAUAAGUCUGAUGUUAAAAUGCGGGGCUCAACUCCGUAUUGCGUUGGAAACUGUUUUUCUAGAGUACUGGAGAGGUGGGCGGAACUACAAGUGUAGAGGUGAAAUUCGUAGAUAUUUGUAGGAAUGCCNAUGGAGAAGUCAGCUCACUGGACAGAUACUGACGCUAAA